Molecule: long non-coding RNA, 20919 nt
Organism: Acinonyx jubatus (cheetah)
Lineage: Eukaryota; Metazoa; Chordata; Mammalia; Carnivora; Felidae
Exons: 3
Source: RefSeq, a predicted model, not a curated record
UCUCUAUUUUAUUACACUGGUCGAUUUGUCUGUCAUUAAGUCAACACACACUGUCUUAAUUAUACAACUUUAGAAUAAGUUUUGGUAUCUGGUGGUGAGAAUCCUCCAUUCUUGUAUUUUUUUUUCCCAAGACAGCAUUUCAUUUACAUAUAUGUUUUUGAAUAAACUUGACGACCCCACCACAACACAACAGCAACAACAAAACUUUCCGUGAACACGGAAUAUGCUUUUACCGAUUUACAUAAUCUCUCAUUUCCCUCCACAGUGUUGCUAGUUUUUAGUGCAGAGGUCUUGCACAUCUGUCCUAGGUAUUCGCCAACUUUUGAGCUAUUGCAAAUGGCUUUUGUUAUCUUUAACUUUAGUUUUAAAAGGAUUUGUUGCAUUUGACCCAUUUUGCCCAUAUCUUAUCACUGAACUAUUGAGUCUACUAUAAAAUACUCUAUCUUAAGUAAAAGUGGAAAGUGAGACCUACUUAGACUACACGUAACUAUUUUAUUAACGGGAUUCCCUUCGUACAUAUGAAAAGAGAAACCGGUGCUGCAGAGACACUAAUUAUAUUUGCCCCAUAGUGAUCCUAAAGGCGAUCAUAAGAAAGGAAGCAAGGAGUUUUGAGAAUUGCUCUUACCAUGACACUGCGUGUGGCAAUCUCAGCACAAUUCAAAGUAAAGGUGUUACUGGACUGAAUCAAUAGCUAUGAUGAAGGUACAGAAAGUGGGCCCCAAACUGCCCCGCCGUGCAAAACUCCUUCAGUGCAAAUGAGCCAAACUGCUAGUUAUUUGUCUAUUGUUCUAUCAUUACCUUGUGUGCGUCUGCCUCCAAUAGAGGCUGUCAGAUUCAUGCACAGUUUGUGUCUUGUGAGGUGCCGUAUCUCAUCUGAGUGGUUCUUGUCAGUUGUGGAGCUAACUGCUUAGAGGAUAAGAACAGGAAAAAAAAUAGUACCCUGAUUGACAGUGAUCAGAGUAAGGUGAUGGACUCUGGGGAGUGGGGAGACAUGGACAGAAGACAACAGAGAAUCAUAAGGAAUAAAAAGUUGCACACUAGAUAGUCGAGUCCAUCUGUCUUGUAACCUUGAUUGGUGAGCCCCACAUUUAAACAAUAGAAAUCUUAUUACUCCUUUCUUCCUUGGCUAAUGCAUAUGGAAAAUCUGGAUAAUGCAACCAGUAAAAUAAAUUCUAGCCCAGGGAACACUCUUCCUUAAGCCCAGAAAAAGUAAAUUUAAUAUGUAAAUAAAAUUUCCACCUACUUUUAUGGAUGCUUCUAACAUUAGAAACAAAUCCAUGAGUUGUACAGAAUAGGGUAAUUCUCAUCUUGCAGGGAAGGUGACACUCAGGGAAAUUAAUGGCCAAUGCCUUCCUAAAGAGCUGGAUUUCAGGACUUUUGGAGCUCACUCGAGAACUCUUUCAUUAAAGCUAUUUUGAUAUUUUAAUUUUAUUCCUCCUAGGAUUGCCUCUUGGUAUCCAAAGCAUAAAAGUAGUGGUCUUCAAACGUUUCUGUAAUGUACCCAGUGUCCACCUUUCUUCUUACACUAUAAGCAUUUGUCUACUUUUGACUAUGUCACCAUUUUCAAAGGAACCACCUUUGGGUAGUAUCUUCCCUAGGCCUUUCAUUCUGGCUUUUGCUCUGUCUCAGAUCAUAUAGGAUACAGAACAAUGAAACAGUAACCCAACCACACGGAGGAAAGAAUGUGGCUCUUUUUUGACAACAGAGCAUAAUUAGUGAUACAAGCAAAGUGGCUAAUUAGAUUCAAAACAACUUCCUGAAAUAUCAAGAAGAAAAGAUCGAAACGGAACCAAAGUGCAAAUAAAUACAAUUCGAACUGAUUCGUGCUCCAGGCUCCUGAAGCAUUGAAGACGUCAUUGAAAAGCUGAAGGCCUGUUCAGACAAAUCUCACAUUUUAUUUUCCUUCCCACUGUCUUUGAGUUUCUUUAGUUUUUUUUUUUCCUCUUCUGAAAUCAAAUUAAUAAUAUUUACUGAGUCAGAAGCUAAGUGAAGGCUGGGAUGAAAAGCAGUACAACAAACAAAGCUGUGAGUCUGCAUGUAAUUUCUCAGUCUCCACUCUAGUUGCUAAUAGUUAUGUGAUUUCUAUAAAGUUGCAUAACUUCUUACACCAGCCACCGACUCACCUCUACAAUAAGAGUGUUUGGCCGGGAUGUCAUCUGGUUCCCCCAGGGAGCUCAAAGUUCCCACAAUCUCUUGAACGAGUAGAGAGAAAAGAAAUAGAGGCAUAAAGGUAAUGGACCCCUAAAAUGGUUUGCAGUGGUUUGCCUCAUUUGGACUUAUUUAUCCAUUCCCAAAGCCUGGAGAUGAAGUUUAAAGGCCAUGUGCUGAAGGGAUUUGGAGAAAAACUAUUUUUAAUAUUUACAUGAACUGUUUGAGAGAUUAUGUGGAAUAUAAAAAUGUCUAUGGCACAAUCCUGUCACAGAGGAGCUGUACUCUCCAUGGAGAAGACAUGCUGUACAAAUAUGCGAUAACGUUGCAAGAAUCCAAAUAAGCCUUAAUGAAGUGCUAACACUCCCAAAGUGUAAACACUGGCCACUGUAGGAAUUCAGAGAUAUAUGGUCUACAACUGGAGAAGCAUUGAAGAUGAUCUUGAAGGAGAGGCUCAGAGAAUAAACUUCUAGAUAGACAGAUGUAUAAAGAAGGCGGUGCCUACUGUUGACGGGAACAAGAUAAUCGAGGUGUUGGAUGUGUAGACAUGAAGGUGACAUCUCCCAGGAAGAGUGAGAAGAAAGUCACCUUGGGUCAGAGGGACUGUUCACAGACCUAGUGGGAGGUAAUAUCAGAGAGGUCAGGGAACCUAUUUGAUAGAUAUCCAGGUUGAAGAAGAUUGACUUCUGAUAUUAAUGGGGAGCUAGUAAUGGGAAAGGAUUAUGCGAGACACUGUAAUCUUUCAGAAAGAUCAAACAAGGGCCAGUGGAAGAAUUGAUGAAUUGAAAGAAGAGAGGAACACUAAGGGUCAAGCAGGAUAUCUGUUGCAGUCAUCAGGCAAAAGUGAGGACCUAGAGCAGUAAAAUGGAGAAAUCCAACAUUGAAGGAUCUUCCUGGCUCAAGUCUUCCUUUUUCUUUCCUCCUUUCCCUUCCUGAUCUGAAUAAGCCUCUGGGUAAUGAGGUAAUAUAGAUAAAAUUGUAGUUUCACUCAUCAAGCCUAAGAAAUUAUCCCAGCCCCUGCUGGUGGUCUUUGGUCAGAUGACACAGAAUUGAUUUUGUAGCUUGUCUCAUGGGGGCCUCUGGGAAAAUGGCUCCUUCGGGUGACCUUUUGCUUUCACAUGAUUAUGGAGAUAUGACCCAAUCCCCAUCCUUAGUUCAAAAAGAAAACAAAUCCUCUUAAUUACUUUGUUGGCUCCUCUCACUUCUUGAUCUUGGCCAAUUUUUUUCCAGGGUCUCCUUCUAUCUGCUCUCCUCCCACGAUAAUAUUCUUAGAUGUUUUGUUCCCUUGGAUCCAAAGACACACUCUUUAUGCGGUGAAAAAGAGUAGAUCUCACCAAAAUCACUCUGGACUAGCUGUCCAUAGCCCAGUGAUAAUCAUUCCACUAUCUAAAAGAAAAAUGUGAUUUUACCACAAACACUCCCAUGAUGAUUCAGCCUUAACUCUUGCCAGAGGAAGACUGUGCCAUUUUUUCCCCUCUCCUCAGCAUGCAGGCUGCUGUGAAGAAGCAUCUGCUGCCUAAUUCUUUUCUAUAUUAGGAUAAAAAGCUUUUUGGCUUGCUGAUUUCAGGCCCUUAGGAAAAGAGAGAAAAGAUUUUCUCAUAACGUCUUUAUUGUACAACCAAUUGGUCUGUGUCCUGGGAACCCCAGGCACGUUUUCAGGGAUGAGCCACAAGACCAAUAGCUCAGAGACGAUGGGGCUGAGAGCUGGACACGACGUGCUCACUCUGGGGGUACAGAUGGUAUCUAUCAGCUAGAAUUCUUCCACUGAGGUUGCUUUGACACCCAGACCACUUAACUGGCCUCUUAUCGUAUUUGGGAAGGCCAGCUUUUCCUAAAGAUUACCCAGACACAGCUUUUGAUCCUCAUACUUCAAAUAAGUGAUUGAAGAGCCAGCUGAAAAAGAAUGGGGUCUAGGAAUAAAAAUGCUCAAAGAUGGAUAUGUCCUUGAGAAUAUGUCUGAAAAACACCUCAAGGAAAAUACGUUGGAGGUGAUAUUUCCCAAUCAGUUCCCUCCGUGCCCCACGGGGCCGCUUUUGAUGAAAACAGUGGCUUGAUGUUCUCAUUACGAUCCCUGCCCCAGAUGUGGGGCUGGAAACCAGGGAAGGCUGUGGGGGAGCAUGAACCUGAUAAAGGCUGUUGGUUGGCCUAUCUCUCUCGUGAGACGACCAGGUAGGAAAGCUCAGGGAAAGCACUUGUAUCUUGCUCUCUGCCUGUCAUCCUGCACUUUUCUGUGUGCCAGUGACCACGCUGGAAGCACUGGCCGACUGCAUCACAUCCCUGGAUGCCGUUCAGAAGUGAACAGGGAGGCCCAAGAUAUCUCCUGGGAACCAGUCACAUCUGCAGGGCUGUGAGCUGGGUUUUUCUUUUAUUCUUGUCAUAACGUAGUAAUGAUAAUGAUCGUCGUUGUUGUUGUUGCUAUGAUUGUCACAUUGGUCCAUUUGAUGAUGUCCUAUCACACUUGGAAUGGCCUCUUGGACAUGGGUAUAUAGCGGCUGCACAUGUUUGAGCCAGCAAAUUCCCAUAUGUCAUACUACUUGCAAUUAUUAUUUAAGGACCAGAGAGAAGGCAGCCUCCUGUUUUUGCUCAGUAAACUGGAUUUCAAAGCCAAAGUGAGGCAUAUCACAAUCGAACGGACUAAUUAAAAAAAAAAAAAAAAGUCAAGGUGAUGGAGGAGGAAGAGUUUAUUAAGUGAUAAACAUAUGCUUCUCCACAAAGCCCCAUACUUGAUUCCUCCAGUCAUAACAUACCAGCUCUGAGUUUUAACAACGCAGCUCUCAAAAGACUUCCCUUUGGGUUGUGGGCAAUUCAUAGAUUUCAGCUUCUUGCUCCCUGGUUGGGGUUGAUGGGCCAGGGAACAAUUUUUAUUAGGUUUCAAUGCAUCUGCGGUGCUUAAAUAAGAGACUGAAACAGGCACUCGUUCUGUGCUGUAGGGUGAUAAGUUGCAUUAAUUUUUAUUUUAGGCUGUCUCCAAACAUGGCUUUUAUAGACUAAUAAAAAAGCAAUUUUUAUAAGUUCACAAAAAACAAUGAGCACAGUCAGGCAUAAAUAUCUUACAACCAGGGCCAGAGGAAAAUUAUGAACUAAAAAAUCUGCUGAAAAUGGCAUAAAAAACAUAGUAUCUGGAUGCUGCCUUCUUGAGGUAAAUUACACUCUGACCUAAAUGGAAGAUUCUAUGAGUGUAAAUUUCCACUAGUGAUUCCUCCCUGUUCUCAUCUCUCUGUGGUCAGAACUCGGGCUCUGGACUCUUCACUAAUUUAUGCACAUCCUAUCCUUGAGGAUCAACCUCAAAAACUCAGCUCUUUGGGGGAAAUCCCACCCAUUAAUAUCAGUUCUUACAUCUCCAUAUACUUGUUUGGAACAUACUAGGAAACACUAAAACCUUAAUAGGAAAUCUUUUAGCCAAAUUACUCCAUUGUCAUAUCUCUGGAGAGAUAGUUUAUACAUGUCUGAGCAGAAUCUCUCUGACAAUAAAAAAUAUAAAGUGUACUUUGGACAACCAUCUUAUCCAAGCUAUUUAUGAAGGUGUUGAAAUAGUGGCAGGGACUACGUUGUAUACAAUUAUAAUGUGUUUGUGAAAUAAGUGAUCUCAAUUAAUGUUUAAUGUUAUGUACCAACAGAGUUUUCCCAAAAGUUAAAAAAAAAAAAAAAUCAGCGACUUUUCCAAAUCUCUUGUUGACUUAGUGCCAAACAUGCGAUGACUCCAGAUGACUGACAGGGGCUUUGGCUUUUGAUUGGCCCGUCUGGGCUUACAGAGUUACCUCGUAAAUUUAGGGCAUAAAUUAUUGCUCUUCCUACUUCCAUGAAUUUCAUGUUUCAGCCACACUUUUAGCCUGACGUGAACAUUUUCCAUCUUCAUGGCAUGCAAAAAAGGAAACGAAGCAGGUAGGAAACAAAUAAAAUAUCCAGGAAUUUUGUACUUAGACAAAAUGUCUUCACUUUCUUAGGCCUUAAGUUGGUUAAACUUUCCUAAGGCUGUGCUCAUUGUUGAGGUGUUUUGUUUGUUUAUUUAAAAAAAAAUUUUAUUACAUUGAUUUAGUUUUGAGAGACAGAGCACGAGUGGGGGAGGGGCAGAGAGAGAAUGAGACACAGAAUCCGAGGCAGGCUCCAGGCUCCGAGCUGUCAGCGCAGAGCCCGAUGCAGGGCUCGAACUCACAAACUGUGAGAUCAUGACCUGAGCUGAAGUCGGACGCUUAACCAACUGAGCCACCCAGGUGCCCCUUGUUUGUUUAUUUUAGAAAAAUAAAGGCAGAACCUAGAAUUGAAUUGGAGAUCCUGCUCACAAGGGAAUCCAUGUACAUGAUAUCUUUGUGUCUGACAUUUUCUUCACUUUGUAGCCCUUAGUGAAAGCAUAUGGGAGGUGGGGGUGAAGAGUACUUGUUUGAAAACUGGCUUUAUCUAGCAAGUGCAUCAUUUUACGUAAGUUGCAUGUUUAUUUUGAGAAGUUUUAUAGGGAUUUCUGGAGACUAUAAUUGUCUAUACCAUUUAAGGUGAUAGUCGUAGCUGAAACUAACAAAUUGAAGAUCUCGAUGGAUUCACACAAUAAAAGUUCACUUCUUAUUCAUAUAAAAACCUAGCUAGCGUUUAAAUUCCUGGUCAAGUGGAUUUUCUCCAAGUACUAACUCCUGGCCCAGGCUCCUUCUGUUCUGUGGCUCCGACUUCAACAAAUAGCUUCUAAGGACACAAACUUUUUAGCACCAAGUUGUGAAAGGCGAAGAGAAAAGAAGUGCUUCCUUCUCGCUAGAUCAGGCCCAGAAGUACUAUAUCCCCUUGGCUGGAACUCAUCUACAUGGUCACACCUAACUUCAGCAGAGGCUUGGAAAUGUAGUCUAGCUGUGUGUCCAAGAAAAACUAAAAAUUGUUUUGGAAUCUUCAAGCAACCUCAGCUCUAGACCUCAGCUCCAGACUUCAAGUUUGCCCUGAUAAUUUCACUGGAAGGAAUGUGAGACCUGAAUGAACAUCAGAGUAAAGCUUCUAGGUGCCCACCUUAGAGGUAUCAGUGAUGAUUCUGAGAUUCCCCAAAAGCACAGCAAUCAUGCAGGGUCCCUCCCUGUGAGUCUUUUGUCAACCACACUCUACUACAGUCCCUGAUUCAUAGUCCAUGCCACUCUAGAGAUCGUCAGCUCUACAUUACGGGGAUUACAUUUAAAAGAUGGGAUUCGUGUGCGCAGGUUUACAUUUCAAGCCUUUGAAACCGAGUCUUUCUCAUUUCCUUUUUUUCCUAAUUUGGCAUUGAUUUUCUUCAUGCUUGAAUAAGCGUUUUAAUUCUGCCAAGGUGGAAGUUCAAAUUUGCAACAUUUUUCAUUUCAAAAACGAAAGCUAAAAACGUCUGAUUAAUUUUCAAGAGCUAGAAAAGGUUAGUUUUUUCCCACCCCCAUAUAACACAAAAAUGGAUGUGCUAAUUUAGCUGAAAUGUUAUGAAAUAUGUACUAUUGGGUUGAAACCAAGUAUGGAAAUUCCAUGAACAUUUCCCACUGUGAUAUCUCUUCAGAGACACCUGUUCACAUCCUACCAAACAGAUUUCUAUUCCCAUAAUUAAAAUGUAAAUACAUCCAAUAUCAGUAAAAGAAAUUCACCUACAGAUUUGGGGAUGCCUUAGCUCUCUGAGCAAGUUUCAUCCUUUGCAACAGCAUCAUGGAUGAGUCUAGUAAUGGAACAAUACAUCCUGCAUGUAUACAUGAAGAUGAGCAGUAACUGUUAGGAUUCUCUUAUGGUUAUCUUCAAUUAAGAAUUUCAAUCUACAAUUACAGUAUCACUAAAAAUUUAAAUUUUCUUCCACAAAUACUUUCCAACAACCAACUAGCCUUACGAACACUUUGAUUCUUAAUGAAAUGAUUAGUACAAGGACAGUUGCAUGUCAGAUGUUGUCGAACUUUUUGGAAGCCAGUUUCCCACAGCAUUUAAAGUUCUUGGAAUUCCAUUGAUGAUAUUCUCACACUAUGCAUGCUCAAAAAUUCACUGGCAACACACAUCUGUGUUUACCCUUCUAAUCAUGACAAUACCCACAGUACUUUUCAUAUUCCUAAAGGAUUGAGUAAUACCUUCAGAAUCUUAGAAGACAAACAUGACUUAUGUUGGACCUGAAAUUAUCCUACCGCCCAUAAUAGGAAGAAUCUAAAAUUGGAAAUCACUUACAAGCCGGCAGUAGAAGAUUGUCAGAACUUCCUAUUUCUGGCUCAAGGGUAAAUUAAUAUGAUAGAAGGAUCUGCAAAGUAAUGAAAGAAAAGAUGUAGCCCUGGAUAUAUUGGCCUUUGGAAUAUUUUUUUUUUUUUAGCUCUUCAUCUGCCUUCCAAAUCAAUUCCGUUUGAAUUAGGGAAUUUUUUCAAUAUAUGGAAUACACAUUCUUCUGCAUCUUACUACAUUUUUGACCACAACAAAAACACAUGGAGGCAAUCACAGGAUGGGGGGAGGAUCACCAAUCUUCCCAAGUUGUGUAGAGGGGAAAAAAUUCUCCACUCUUGAUUAGCUUUCCUACUAGGGACUUAGAAAAGGAAUAUAGAUACCAAACAGUUAAUUCCCUACACCUCUGGAGUAUAAUCAGAAUCAAAGGAUCAGAAAGCACUUGAAACCAGACAUAGUAAAUACCUUUGUCACUAUUCUUCCUACUCUCUUGGCUAAUAUCAUCAAUUAAUCACAUCACUCUUUCCUAUUGGGCCCAGAUAUAAGUGAAGAAUUGUUCUCAAUGUAAAGUUUUAGGUAUCUAUUACCAGUAGACAGUUGAUCCAAGUUGCAACUUAAUAUAAAAAAAAAAAAAAAAAAAACCUAUUUGUCAUUCCUAACAUAGAAGAUCCCUGGGCAGGAAUGAGAGGUAAAGAAAAGUUACAGACAGCCGUGACUUUGAAUCUCUCUAUAGAUUCAAAUGGCCAUAUCUACAAGAGAAGUUAUUUACAUUAUUUCUGAGGUUAUUUCUUCUGGUCUGACUUUGCCUCAAGAAGCUUUUUAAAUUUUUUUAAACGUUUUUUAAUUAAAAAAACUGUUUUUGAAAGACAGAGAGAGACAGAGUGUGAGUAGGGGUGGGGAACGGACAGAGAGGGAGACACAGAACCCAAAAUAGGCUCCAGGCUCUGAGCUGUCUGCCAGCACCCGAUAUGGUGCUGGAACCCAUGACGUGAGAUCAUGACCUGAGCCAAAGUCAGAUGCUCAACCAGCUGAGCUACCCAGGAGACCCCUUCUUUGCCUCCAGAAGCUUUUGAGGAUUUUCUGGCAGGCACAUCUGUGAUGACCAAAUGAAGGUCUGACAGAGACAGAAGUUGAACUUCCAUUAUCUACAGAGUACCUUUUCCCUCUCCAGAAGUCCCACCAGUCAUCAUGCUGUGGGACACGCAGGCUGUCAAAUGUAGUAACCUCAAAAAACAAAACAAAACAAAACAAAACAACCAGACCAGGAUAGCAACCAUUAUAACAGGGUAGGGGGACAAGAUGAGGUUUUUAGUGGCUGAUUUCUCUCUUCUGGGUCUUCAAAAACUAAAGUCUCUGCCGGCCCUUAGAUUUUUAGUCAUCUGGUUACCCACCGGGAAUUCCUUCUGAAUCACAGACAAAAACAACACAUAUACAAAAAUGCAUGGCUAGAAGCUCUUGUACUAAUCUUAAAUCUAUCUUAGCUUUCUUACUCGCACUUAUGCUGAAUAUCCUAAGUUUUAGUUUUUUAAAAUCAUGUUAUGUUGUUUUCAAAAAUCUUAAAUCCUUUAGGGAACAAGGCAAGACAUAAAUACAUAAAAAUGAAUUAACGUAUAAAUACAGCAAAAUCUCCACCGCUAGUGUUCUUAUAUUUCACAGUCCACAAAUCUUCCAUAGAAGGUUAAUAUCUUCCAGAAAUUGUAUAAUUGCUUUGCUGUUGUGUCUAUUGCCAAAGAGGUCUGCUUUUCAAAUUAUCCAAGAGGCAUAUGUUGAAGUCAUGCUAAUAUACCUAAGAAUACCAUCACUGAUAUUAUCGAUCUUACAGUUACAUUUAUCCGCUGGUGCCACGUCCUUCAUUUGCACGUUUAAGAUAUUGUUAGACCUCUUUUUCCAUGUGGACAAGCUAAAGAUAUCAAAAGUACUCCAUAUUUAACCAAAGUCUCAGAAAACACCAGAGGUACAAGAAGGUAUAAGAAGUUGGUUCAUGUCUCCAGGGAUAAAUAGUCCCUUGAGAGAAGACAUUAUUCUUUCUUUUUAUUUAUAUCUGUGAAAUCUUGCUUUUAACUUGACCAUGCUGAAGAAAACAAUGCUUCUCAGGCAGCUGAUAGACUGUGAAAUUAAGUUCAAGAAAUCAGAUCACUUGAAGGAGCAAUCCUUAUCCUUGAAAAUGUUCUGUCAUCACAGACUCAAAGAAAUCUGGCUUUGGACCCAUCCAUCAGUUUUGUUUCCUCUCUUCAUGUUUGCAAGUUAGUGGAAGAAACCGGUGGUUUUGCAAUUGGCAGGAGAAAGGUCAAGUGAAAACAAAGCUUUCUUGCAGGCAUUUUUGCUGGCUGUAGUGUCCUUUUCUCCUUUGAGUUUUCAAUGCAUUUCUAAGUUUUGAAAAUAUUUUCCUUUUGAAGCCUUCUCACCAAAGCUGUCAGCAGGAUUUAUGACAAAUGUAACUCGUAGCAGACAAGAGCUGUUUCUUUAUUUUACACCUGCCAGAUGUAUUGCCUUUUACUUGGGCAUUUGUAACCAUUGGUGGUUUCAACUAUAAUGUUGAAAUGAACUAAGUUCCAUGCUAAGAAGGAGCCUAUUGUCUUGUUGACAAGAGGUGGCUUCUUAUCAUCCUACACAAUAAAAUUAAACCUGCUAUCUGCUCUGUGCCCUAUUUAUGUGUCAGGUGCAUGGCAUACAUUAUUUCUAAGUCAAACAAAAACAACAUGGAGCUAUUAUUAUUAUUGUCCUUAUUGAAUAGUUUCAAAAACCAUGUCGGAGUAAUUAAAUAGCAAUUAAAUGGGUGACUGAAAACCAGACGGGAAAUUAGAAUUUAAACCCAGGAAAAUAUGAAUUCAAAACUUGGAUUCCAUACCAUAAAGCUUUGCCAUAAAUGUUCUCUGAAUACAUUUCACCCAGGCUUCAAGUGUUCAAAAUACAAUGUUUAUACUAAUGACAUGUUAUAGAUCCCUUGAGGAGAGUCACCUUAUAGUGCUCACAUCUACUCAUCUUUCAAGGAGAAUAGAAAAUGCCUAACUUCAUGGAACAGUACACAGUGUUAUAUUUGGUUUGAUCAGUUUUGUAAUGAGCUGCUUCUGAGAUCUUUGGUCAUUUGAAGUGUUCAAAAUGAACGCUAUAAUUCAGGAACCAGUGAAAAUAAAUCCACAAGUCUUACAGCAGGACAUGUAUGUGGCAUUUUUCAAAACACAAAUAAAAAUGAUUGCCAAAUGUGAUUGGCAUAUUAAUAAAAUCAGGCACCUUAUUUGGACUUAAGUUAUUUUCAUUUUAAUAUUUUGUGAAAUUUUUAAAGACAUUUGAAGGAAUUCUGCCUUUCAUGCUUUGUUGAAAUUUAAACAACUUUUUGGCACACGUACCUCAACUUUUAUACUCUGUUAUCUUUUGCUCCAAUUUUGCCUUUUGUUUUGCAUUUGUGAAAUAUGGUUUGAUCCAAUAACAAUGAUAUGGAGCUUAUAUAAAUAUGUGUCUGUCGGGACACCUGUGUGGCUCAGUUGGUUAAGUGUCCAACUCUUGAUUUCAGCUCCGGUCAUGAUCUCACGGUUUGUGAGAUCAAGCUCCUUGUGGGGCUCUGUGCUGACAGCAGGGAGCCUACUUGGGAUUCUCUCUCUCCCUCUCUCUCUAUUCCUCCUCCACUCGCUUGCAUGUUCCCUCUCUUUCCCCAAAAUAAAUAAACUUUAUUUAUUUAUUUUUUUACGUUGAUUUAUUUUGAGAGGGAGGCCAGAGAGAGAGGGAGACACAGAAUUUGAAGCAGGCUCCAGGCUCUAAGCUGUCAGCACAGAGCCCGACGCAGGGCUUGAACUCACCAACCGUGAGAUCGUGACCUGAGGCGAAGUUGGACACUUCACCGACCGAGCCACCCAGGCUCCCCCCAAAUUAAUAAACUUUGAAAAAAGAAAAAAAGAAAAAGAAUGUGUCUGUCAACUAGAAGCAACACUUUCCCAAUGUAGUUUUCUUUUUACUUUUCAUAGAACAUUCUGGAUCUUGAAAACUCUCACAAGGCAAUAAAGAGAUCUAUAUGCCAACUUAGAAAUAUGUUAUUUCUGCUCAUUUUUCUUACCCGAUGCCCAGGCAUAUAAGAGCAAAUAAACAAGUCUGAUUUUCUGGAUUCUGAGAAUUGUCGCCUUUCAGUCCGUGUUGUAAUUGUUCAUUUAUUUAGGUAAGAGCUAUUUUUGAGUGCCUUGUGUAUGUGCCAAGUACCCUAUAGGCAUGGGGGCUACGGCAGUGAAAUUUAGAGCUACCUGAAAUCAAUGUGGUGAGGUUUGCAAAAGGGGAAAGAUGGUGUGUGUUUUGAACCAAUCUACUCGGGAGGACUGGAAGAUCACAAACAUCUUCCCUGAAGAAGUGAUGAUUGUGCAGAGAAAUACAGGAAUCGGCCAGAUGGGAAGUGGCCAGGGAGGGAUAGUCGGGCUCAUAGUGCCAUGAGCCACUUUUAUGAGCGCCAUUAGAUGAAAUAAGAAGCCAGUGCCUUCCCGUGUCUACAGCCCAUUGCCAGUAUUCGGGACAUACUUCAGAAGACCAUUUUGCCAAUGUCUAAAAUCAAACUUUUAGGGAACACUUUUUGGUGCUGUAUUCCUUUCUUCCCAUGCGAUGCUUGUGUUUCAACUCUUGGCUAAGAGGAGAAAGCGAAGAGGAUUAAAAGCCAGAUGAGGUUUCUGCAGUGUGAGCGAGGAGGUAUUUCAAGAACAUUUCAAAGGAACGAGAAUCAUUUAUUAUUUCUUACCAUGGGCAUCGUGAUACUCAAUUUGAUACUUAGUAUAUAUCUAUGAGAUCGAUAUUUUUCCCAUUGUUUUCUCCCAGGGAGAGAAAGAGGGCAUGGGGUGGGUAAGUUUCUCAUUCUGUAUGAAGGAGAGCCAGAAUCUGACACCAGCUGUCUCUUACUUAAGGUUCAUGUUUUGUGGCUCUCCAGAGUAGCAAAGGCAGAGGUGGCUUAUAUGUUUGGGAACAGCGACAGUCCAAUUUAACUAAAGGCAGCAAAGCUCACAGAAGAUGAGGCUGGAAGGUAGAACAUGGUCCGAGAAGUCUUGAAACAGAUGGAAUGGGUAUCAUCGUGUAUCCACUCAAAGCCCACUUUCUUUCUAAGCAGGUAGCAUCUCACCAUCACUACCACAUGAAGGGGUAUCAGAUCAUUCCCAGCCAAAAGGGCUUCCUUAUUUCUAAGAAUCAUUUCAAUUCCUUUAUCAGGAAAUUGUUCAGUAACAUAGACCAGAGCCAAUCAGCACUCAUCACGCCUCAGCACACUGGGAAGUUUUUAGGAAUGGCGUGUGACUGAACGGGCAUGACUGAGGUGGACCAGUGAGAUGGCAGGAGGGACUUUAAGAGGUCAUUGGAGAAAAAGAUUUAUUGAUUAAAAAACGUAACUACUUCAAGAAAUGUGAGGUCCAGAAGUGCCAUAGUCAUCUUAACCCCAGCCUGAAGGAGAACCCCACUAAUGUCUGAUCUAGUAAAUGGGGAUAUUAAUAAAACCACCUCAUAGGGUUUGGGGAAGAAUAUAUAUCUUAGCAUCUGACACUCAAUAAAUGGUAGUUUUAUAAUUAUAAGUUAAGCCACAGUGAAAGCUUUAUGGUUCUGAUGAAGGGUGAAAAUUUAGUAGUCGUAUUUGACUUUAAGGAUUUUAAUCCUUACAUUUAAUACUUAAUAUAAUAAGUCAUGUUUCAUGGUAGAUUUGCUAUGUUUGCUUCUUGUUUUAUAAGAAUCAGAGUCAGUAAAUUGAUCAUUUCUCCAGAUUUGGGGCAAGGCAAACAAAUCGGGUGUGAAACUGAUCACGAUAUAAAAACUUGCUAACCUGCAUCAACUGGAAUUGAUAUCCAGCUCAGGUUUCGUACUUCACAGCACUUGUGAACCAAAAAGAAAAGCAGACUUAACGUGAAAUCAGAUUAAAUAAGAACUUAGGCCCGUUUCUGAUUGCGAAGUUUCUACUUUCAGUUCCAUAAAUCACCUAGAUCUGAAGCAAUCAGAGUAACUAAGGCUAAUAUAUGGAACUUCUCUCAAUUGUCAAUGGCAUCCAAGAACAAGGUAUUCGAUGGCAGAAUUCACUCCAGGGCAGAAAUUGAAAGGGCGGGAGGAACACAUUUCGUGAACUUCAGCAAAGGAAACGUGCAUAUUCAUGCCAUGAUUCGGCAACUGAGUUUGUUUCCUGUCACAAAAAGACAGAUAUUGGAGGAGAAGGAGCAAAGUGCUAAUGUAUCCUGCUUUAAACUCUGGCAUGAGUUUACUUAUAGUUCAUUAUCUCGGCCCUGAAGAAUGCUGUUCCAACAUUGAACUUCUGUAUUUUUCAAGUUUGUAAUGGGAAUAACAAGAUAAAAAGAAGAACAAUACUCUCUUACAUUUGAACAAUUGUUUUUCACUUUUUAAGUUUAUUAUUUUUUUUUGUUUGGAGACAGAGAGACAGAGAGAAAGAGGGGCAGAGAGAGACAGACAGAGAGAGAAUCUCAAGCAGGCUCCACAAUGUUAGUGCAGAGCCUGAUGUAGGGCUUGAACCCACAAACUGUGAGAUCAUGACUGGUGCCCAAACCAAGGGUCAGAUGCGUAACCAACCGAGCCAACCAGGUGCCCCCCAAAAUUGUUUUUCAUUUUUCUAGCAUCAUUUUUAAAUUACUUUUUAUAGCCUUAGUAGUGGCAGGAGUAGGAAUAAAGGAAAAGAUUGUGAUUUUUAUUAUUAAUUGCAAGUACUGUUAGCAAUUGCUAUAAAAUCUGGUGUUAAAUGUGUUUUUCAUGAAAUGUUUUUCAUUUAAUUUCGUGUCUUUUAUUCAUUUCAUGUGUUGGAGGGGAACGUGCCCAUUACUGCCACACGCCAACUCAAGUCAUUGACAGAUAAGAAGAUGGGGUGGUAAGUGUGGAGAGUCCAAAAUGUAGAAAAGAAGUCAGAUAUAGAAAAAGCAAAGAAAGAAAGGUCAGGGUCAACCAGCAAGCCAGAAGCACAAGUAACUGCUCUCAGGUGUGUUGGGGGUAUAACUGCUGGCCGAGCCCCAACUCUGCCCCAAACGCCCAGUGCUGCUUGCACUGAUGAAUACUGAUAAAUUCAAUAUACUGUGCAGAGAGUGACUGUCUUUUUUAUCUUGUCAAAAUGCAACUGUAAAAGGGCAAUUAUAGAGAGAGCCGCCCUCCCCCUCCCAAAGAAGGAAAUCCCUGAACUCACCUCCACAGCAUCAAGCCCUACGAACCUUCCGGUAACUCUCAGCCUAUUCUUGUUUACUUAGCCAUGAAAUUAGGCAGAAACAAAAAGCUGAGCAAAGCUUGCACCAGUGGUAUUGCGUAGAGAGCCGCAGUCUGUUUAGGAUGACCCCUAGCCACCCUCAAUCCCUCCUGCCUGACACCUGCUCAUACUGGCUUUAGAGUAAUUAUCUUCAAAGUGGGAUCCUGCACCGGCUUGCUUAUUAAAUAUGCAGAUUCCCGGAUUCUGAUGGGCCGGGCAUGGCCCUCACUUGCCGGUACUUUUGACAAGCACUUCAAUUAAUGUGUGAAAUAAAGUUUUCUCUAAGUCCUUCUUCCAUUUAACUACCCUUCCCAAAUCUGCUCUUAGGUGGCUGUCAAUCCAUCUUUGAGGAGGUGUUAAAAAUAACCACGGCGUUCACAGACAUUAUUUAAAGGAGUAACUCCUGCCAGGAACUUUGCGUUUUUUUUAAGGGUGUUUUCAUUUUUUAAGCGAUCUCCAAGAAGGCAAAAUGUCUUUUGUUUUUGUUUUUGUCUUGAUGAGAAGAAAGGAAUUGUGAUACUAAUUUUUUUCAAGUUUAUUUAUUUAUGAGAGACAGAACAGAGACAGGCAGAGAGAGAAGGAGAGAGAGAGAGAGAGAAUCCCAAGCAGAGAACGUGGGGCUCGAACUCACAAACCGUGAGAUCAUGACCUGAGCUGAAACCAAGAGUCAGAUGUUCAACUGACGGAACCAUCCAGGCGCCCAGGAGCUGUCACACUAAAAUGAAGAUAGCUUUUGAAAUGUGAUGUGAGAUAUGCAAAUGCUCCAAUGAUAAGUCUAAGAUAAUAAUUACAACCAAGAAUCACGGAACACACAUUUACUACUUGUCAUGUUCAUUGUAAGUAAUAUUGCCAAUUCUUAUUACAAGCCAUAGGAGAGGUAACAUCCCCUUUUUAAUGACGAGAAAACUGAAGGUUGAAGUGGUGAAAUGCCUUGUUCCAAGUCCAUACAGUUAACAGAUGCCUAAAUCAGAAUUUUAAUUUUCUGUGAUUUUAGCCAAAGAACUCAGUCUCUUUCUAUUAGAUCCUACUUCUUUCUGCAAAACAGCGUUUCACAAAGUACACAGCAGACACCAUCCUUAGAGAAUUCCUGUGGCAUCCAUUUGGCUAAAGUUGCUGAGAACCCUAAUUAUUUUUUUGAAUGAUUAAAGCAUUUUACAUGUUUUGAGACAUUUUUUUAAUCAGAUUUAGUGCUCCUGGGUUGAAAAUGUGUCAUUUUCAUUAGUGCCCUGAGAUUCUUUCUGCAUCCAACUCUUUCCUGUUUGCUACUUUGGUCUCAUUUCUAUCACCUUUCAAAGAGCUGCCUGGCUGAGACUUAUUAUCAUUAUUAUUUUUUUUAGGUUGCUUUCAUUGCUAUGAAUCAACUCCAAGGAAAGGUUAUGGAUUUUCAGAGAUGUGCAGGACGUGUGGAGAUUUAUUUGUAUGAUUCUUACUUAUUGACAGGAGAAUGUAUUCCCAGGGUUUAUCAACGUGUUCUGUUAGUUUGACAUUUAGUUGAAAGUAUUUGCUACUCUGAUUCUCGAGGAGCGCAAUCUCUUUCCUACCUUCCUCUCUCAGAUAUAACUGGAGAAGACCACCUACCUGCUACAUCUAAACGCAUUCAUCCAACUAGUUCAGCUUGGGUUUGUUUUAUUUUGUUUUUCUCCAGCGAGGAUGCAAAGCUAAACAUCUCAAAACCAUCCGUCAUGUUUGGGGAUCUUAGACAGCAAUUCUUUAAACUGAACAUAACUUUUACUCAAAGACACGACCGGAAGGACUUUGUAGUCCUUUGGAAAUGGUAAGUGUUCUUUAAGCAGUUACAUGGAGAGAGGCACCAUUUUGCAUUGUGCAAGGUAAGUCAAUGCAGAUAUAAACCGUACCCGAUACUCGUCUUGGUACGUUCAUUCUGUUUGCUGAUCCUAGGCCUGCUCAUCCUGAGAUAUAUUCCUCUUUUCUCCCCUAUCCCCUAUGCCCCUUUGGCUAUGUGUGGCCUGUAGUAGACCCAGGCAGGACCCUGUGGGAGGUGAGGAGAGGGAAAAGCCAUGUAUUUCUCCCCCCUUCUUCUUUGCCUCAGGCAUGUCCACGGGCAUUGGCUUGAAGCAUGUCACCAGGUCCUGCGGGAGAUAUCUGCCAUGACUCCAGCUUCUACCCAGUGGCCUGGUCCCUGGCCUCAGGGACCACCAUUUUCUCUGUCUCUCCAGCCUAUGAGUGAGAGUGGCUUCCUGCUGUUGAAAUCUCUUGGGUUACCUCACUGUCUCUUGUUUGGUUUUUCAAGCUCCUCCAUCACCUGUAUGACCAAUUCCCUGAGAGUAAAUAUUUGAACUGGUUUUGCAUUUCAGAUUAAACCCUGACCUAUCCACCUCUAUGCGUAUAACAUUCAUCAUACCAUUAAUAACAUGUUUAAGGUUCUUUUACUGCCCUGUAAUAGUGACACCCUAGAGUACUGGGAACAGUGCAACAAACCCAACUGUUGCCACAAUUCAUGAUUGAAUAUUUGCUAUUCUGUAUUUUCGAGUGAGUAGAAGGAAAUGUAUUCUGCUGAAAGGAUUUUUUAAUUGCCAUUUUAACCAGGCAGUAGCCCUUUCUAUUUCUACUUAAAGGAACUCUUUUGGAAGAAAAUAACACACCAGGUGUCUUUUAGGUUUUUUGUUUGCUUUUUGAUAGUGUUCAAAGUUACUAAAUCAUCUAGUGAAAGAAUUCUAUUCCAGGUACAUGCCAAAUAACAAUUUUCUAUGCAAAUCUCUUAAAUAUCUAAGCCAGUGCAAAUAUAAACACCCUAUCAAGUGUUCUCAUAACAUCCACUUUAUAAGAUAUGGACUAAUUUAUAAAACCGCUUCACCUACAUUCAAAAAAUUAAUAGUAUAUUUUGUGUUUCUACAAAGUGCAAAAGAGGGUCAAAAUUACUUUUUCCACAUGGCAGUCUGAAUAUAGGAAAACUAACCUAGAGACCCCCACAGGUUGGCUGAACACUACUUUAUUCAGCCAGGGGUGCUGCUGGGGGGAGAAACCAGUCCUAGCUCUGGUCCCACAGUGACACAGACGAAGCUGUUUUCCUCUAGACCCUGUUUCCUUUUAUUCCUAUUUGCACAACUAAACUAUAUUUAUAGCUUCCAUUGCAGAUCGACGAGGUCAUGUAUCUGAGUUCUGGCCAACAGAAUGUGGAAGAAAGUGGUAUCCUCCCCCUUCAGACUGGUUCUUAGAAACUUCCUGGAAUUGUCUACAUCAGAGCCAUACGGAAAAACAGCAAACUCCAAUCAUCCCAUGAAUCUCAUGCUUUACUAAAAACACAAAUCUGCAUACUUGGAACAGAUUGAGACUGAAGUAAAGUAGCACCUAAUACCCCAGAAGUCCAUAAUCAGAUACUUAGGACCCCAGAGAUACGGCUCGGGCAGAAUUCCACUCAGUGACACUCCAAGAGUUAUCAUCAUGGACCGCGUGUUUAUUCUGAGGCACUGAGCUCACACAGCAGGGAGGCAGUUAAAGAAUAUCUCUCUGCCUUUUGGCAAAUUGUAUAAAGCGCUUUUACCAGGAGGUUUGGAGACAGCAACAGCAGCAGUGAGCAAGGCGGUUGCAUUUCUGAACAUAAUCUGAAUUAUCAUUACAGUAAAAUAAAAUUUACUAAAUGGGCAUUUAAUGGUAUUGGGGCAAGGCAAAGAAGCAGAGCUUUCAUCAGGAGAAGCUGGGACAGCUGCAGCCCCUCACAAGAAGAUCCCCUGUGAAUUGUUGGCUUUUGUAACUUGUGACCUUGUGCUAUUUAUAAAAGAGUAUUCCUCUAAGAGCCAAGAUGUAAGGCAUAAAACACCAUUGAAGUAUCAUAGACUUUGGAGAGAGUGUAAUGAACCUCUGAAAUUAGAAAAUGAUACCAAUUCUGAUGGAUGAGACGGAAGUUUUCCCAAAAAAUUAACCUCAGCCUUCCCUUCAAUGUACAUACUGGGCAUUAAUUCUGGGAAUUUGUCUUUGGAAUGCGAUUUUUUUCCUCCUCGUAUUGACUGAGUGCCAGAAGUGUCUGAGAUGGAUCAUGUUGACAUAUUCAAAGAAAAAAAUGAUAGCUCCUAUAUAAUUGCACCUGCAUUUUUUCCAAAGUUGUUUUUUUUUUUUUUUUUUAAUGUUUACUUAUUUGAGAGAGAGGCCGGAGGGGUAGAGAGAGAGAGGGAGAGAGACAGAAUCCUAAGCAGACUCCCCACUCAGCAUGGAGCAGGACGUGGGACUCGAUCCACAACUGUGAGAUCAUGGCCUGAGCCGAAAUCCAGAGUGGGAUGCUUACCCAACUGAGCUACUGAGGCACCCCCAGCCAGCACCUGCUACUUAUUUGCCUGGCACUGGGCAAGCACGUCUCAACACCCAUAAUGAGCCUGGCACUGAGCUCACAGGGGCAAGGAUCUGAAACGUGGAGACAUAGAGUAAUUUGUGGAGCUGGGACAUGUUCUCUAGUCAUCUGAUUCCAAGGUGCGUGUUUUCAACCACUGCACUGUCCUAAUUUAAAACCAGGAGACAAUCUGUCAUCUUCAGCUUUACUAUUAGUUGUCCUUUGAAAAAUUAUUAAAAUGUCAGACGUCUAGCUUGGUAGUUGCUCUCCCAGUAAAUUUAAAAAGCAGCAGGCCCUACCCGGCACUUUUGUAGGCACAGUGGCAAGUAGAGAAGAAAUGUACAGUAAAGCUUCAAGGUGUCUGUGGGUUCGUUGGGGGAAACAUUAUUGACUCUUACAAGACUUGCAUAAUGAAAAGAAUAGUAAGGAACCCUUACGGAGCACUUUCUAAGCGGACCACACCCUCCCCUGUGCUCUACAUGUGCACCCUGAGGUGGGCGAAAUUAAGGUCUCUCUCUUCCUGACCCUAAUCUUACAGCAAUAGAGGAAAGCUUCUCAACAGGGAACCUGGACUCUUACCUAAUAGGCUCUCCUCAAGUCUGGGAUCUCCACAUCUUCCCUAUUGCCUUAGAAUCACGAUUGGACUCAACUUUCCAUCCGAGGGAUUGAUUCUAGCUUUCCUUAAAAAAUACUGUCGGUAGGAGGCUGCUUUGAACGGGACUGAGGGGAAGGCAAAUAGUUCAGAAAAGAGCCUAUUCUCUCAGCGCCUCAAAACAUCAGAGCAGAGGGUGAGAUUACCAAUGGCUUGGGGAAAAUUGUUUAGGAGGACAUCUGCCACCUCCUGACCAGGACAUGCCCUGAGAGCUUCAAUAUACAUUCUUUUAAGUCUGAAAGUUGAUGUAACGUGCUUUUUUUCACCAGUCCCAUCGCUUGUCCGAAUUCCUUGCUUUGGAAAAAGAUACUGCUGCACUGUUUUCAUGUUGAUAGUUUUGCUGUGGUAAUUAAUUCUUCAAAAAUCAACAACAGUUAAGAGACACGUGGGUGGCUCGGUCAGUUAAGUGUCCAACUUCAGCUCAGAACAUGAUCUCACCACUCAUGGGUUCAAGCCCCACUAUGGGCUCUGUGCUGACAGCUCAGAGCUUGGAGGCUGCGUCCAAUUCUGUGCCUCUGUCUCUGUCUCUCUCUCUGU